UGGGGAAUAUUGCACAAUGGGCGCAAGCCUGAUGCAGCCAUGUCGCGUGUGUGAAGAAGGCCUUCGGGUUGUAAAGCACUUUCAGCGGGGAGGAAGGCGAUAAGGUUAAUAACCUUGUCGAUUGACGUUACCCGCAGAAGAAGCACCGGCUAACUCCGUGCCAGCAGCCGCGGUAAUACGGAGGGUGCAAGCGUUAAUCGGAAUUACUGGGCGUAAAGCGCACGCAGGCGGUCUGUCAAGUCGGAUGUGAAAUCCCCGGGCUCAACCUGGGAACUGCAUUCGAAACUGGCAGGCUAGAGUCUUGUAGAGGGGGGUAGAAUUCCAGGUGUAGCGGUGAAAUGCGUAGAGAUCUGGAGGAAUACCGGUGGCGAAGGCGGCCCCCUGGACGAAGACUGACGCUCAGGUGCGAAAGCGUGGGGAGCAAACAGG
RNAcentral lists this ribosomal RNA (429 nucleotides) under Chloroflexota bacterium. RNAcentral's name for it is "Chloroflexi bacterium partial 16S ribosomal RNA". It matches the Rfam family "Bacterial small subunit ribosomal RNA", at positions 355 to 776 of the family's 1533-position model. The record is from RNAcentral. Lineage: Bacteria; Bacillati; Chloroflexota.